RNAcentral lists this long non-coding RNA (690 nucleotides) under Nicotiana benthamiana. RNAcentral describes it as "long non-coding RNA (NBEN_LNC026046)". Lineage: Eukaryota; Viridiplantae; Streptophyta; Magnoliopsida; Solanales; Solanaceae. The record is from RNAcentral.
CUAUUGCAAUUUUCUUUUUUCCUUUAGUUUUCUUUUGUAAAAUGCUAGUUAGGAGCAGGUGUGAGAUCUAAUGUACAAUUUAUGGGUUCAUUCGAAUAACUUUAGCGCGCUAUUAUAAAUGCGAAUUUUAUCAAGCAAGAACAAAUUAACAUUAAUCUAGAACGUAGGAAGUCAAUUGUAUUAUAUUAUAGUAAAAUUUCAAACCUAAAUUUAUAAUGUUUAAAUUUUGGAUCAGCCUCUAACUGCACAUUACUCAAAUACUGUGAUACCACAAAGACACUUCAACUGUCACUUUACCAUUAUGUCCUAUCGUUAUCUAAGUCUGUACCGAGUUUAUAGGUUCAUUUGAAUAACUUUAGCGCAACAUUAUAAAUGCAUUACAAAUUUUCAUCAAACAAGUACAAAUUAACUCAGAUCUCGAAUAAGUUAAUUAUAUUAUUGUGGUAGAAAUUCGAACCGAAACUGAUAAUAUUUAAAUUUUAAAUCACCCUCAAACUGCACAUCAAUCAAAUACUGUAAUUCCACAAUGACACUUCAACGUCACUCUUACAUUAUGUCCUACCUUUAGCUAAGUCUGCAUCGAAUUUAUGAGUUCUUUAGCGCGAUAUUAUAUAUGCAUUAAAGUUUUUAUCAAACAAGUACAAAUUAACAUAGAUCUCGAACGUAGUAUGUCAAUUAUAUAUAUAUAUA